This 497-nucleotide ribosomal RNA is filed under the name uncultured bacterium. RNAcentral's name for it is "partial 16S ribosomal RNA". It matches the Rfam family "Bacterial small subunit ribosomal RNA", at positions 28 to 507 of the family's 1533-position model. The record is from RNAcentral.
GACGAACGCUGGCGGCGUGCCUAAUACAUGCAAGUAGAACGCUGAAGAGAGGAGCUUGCUCUUCUUGGAUGAGUUGCGAACGGGUGAGUAACGCGUAGGUAACCUGCCUUGUAGCGGGGGAUAACUAUUGGAAACGAUAGCUAAUACCGCAUAACAAUAGGUGACACAUGUCAUUUAUUUGAAAGGGGCAAUUGCUCCACUACAAGAUGGACCUGCGUUGUAUUAGCUAGUAGGUGAGGUAACGGCUCACCUAGGCGACGAUACAUAGCCGACCUGAGAGGGUGAUCGGCCACACUGGGACUGAGACACGGCCCAGACUCCUACGGGAGGCAGCAGUAGGGAAUCUUCGGCAAUGGGGGCAACCCUGACCGAGCAACGCCGCGUGAGUGAAGAAGGUUUUCGGAUCGUAAAGCUCUGUUGUAAGUCAAGAACGAGUGUGAGAGUGGAAAGUUCACACUGUGACGGUAGCUUACCAGAAAGGGACGGCUAACUAUGUG